Molecule: non-coding RNA, 3225 nt
Organism: Phoenix dactylifera (date palm)
Lineage: Eukaryota; Viridiplantae; Streptophyta; Magnoliopsida; Arecales; Arecaceae
Source: RefSeq, a predicted model, not a curated record
GGAGAAGUCCGAGCACGCCUAUUUCUGCGUGCGCUCUCUCGCCUGAGGGCAUGACUCUUGAUGCCGGAGCCGCAGGUAGCGCGGAUCUUCGCGCGCACGCGAACGGGAGAUGCGAUACCACGCAUUGGCGGUAAUCGUGGCAGGCGCUCGGCGGUCCAUUUCGGGAGGGGCGACCGACACGUGGCCAAGCGCUUCAAUAUCCGGUGAUUUAAAACAUGAAACGAGGUAAAGAUUUCUUUAUUAAAAAAAGAAAUAAGAGAAGGGGUUAAAAAUACGAGCGCGGAGGCUGCCAGCGGAAUCGGAGCAUGAUCUCAAUUCGAUCAAAUCCAUUGUUAAUCUUUGGACUUCCUUUCUCCGCUUUCUAUCGGGAUUAUCGGCAUUCUGCGUUUGAUUAUGAGCUGAGACUGGAGUGAUAAUAAGUCAUUAUGGCUGGCCUGGAGGAGCUGAAAAAGAGAUUAGAGCCCUUAUUUGAUUCAGAAAAAGGGCCCUUGAGUGGGAUGCCAUUGGAUCCUUGUGACUCAUAUAUGGUUAAGUAUUUCAGUACAAAAAUCAAAUUUCUAGAAAAUUGCUCUACGUUGACAUCGAGAAACAAAACCAAGUAAUGCUUUGCCAAGCUUAUGUCGCCAACAUACUGGAUAGGGCAUUGUCUUCUUGCUUAGAAUUUAUUCCCCCAGUGUUACAGUGGAAACUUUAAUCUUUGUCCCAUAAAGAGAGGAAGUAUAGUCUCUCAUGUAUGCAUGUGUGCAUGCAAGUUUUUAAGUGCGCAAUGCAUGUGUGUGGGAUUUCUUAUGAGAUUUUAAUCAUCUACAAUGCUUGCUAGAGAAAUAAGGCAAACUUUCCUGGGCUCUGCUCGCUCGUCUACGCUCCGACCAAUUCAGUAAAAAUGGAAAAAACGAGGUUUCCUUGCUUUAAGAUUAAGGUCAAUUAUUUUAAUUUGAUUUUUAAUUUAUUUAUCUUUUUUCCUUUUUGACUAUAGAAUUUGCACUACUAGGUAAUACACUUGUAAAUAGAUGACACAAAACUGAUUGGCGCACCAUUUCCUCUUACAAAGGUAGCCUCAUUUGGUGGAUUUUCCUUCCGAAAAAAACUAAGUUCUUUUGUUAUUCUUUAUGCUAAACAUGGAUAGGGAAUUUUGCUCAACUUUUUUUUUUAAAAUUUUUUUUGGCAAUACAAGCUUCUAACAUUAUUCUAUCUACAUUUACUAAGAUGUGUAAUAUAUCCAUGUUAUCAUGUGCUCGUUGACACUAAUAGAUAUCUCUUUUAAAUAUAAGUCAGUAUGCUUCAGUUUUUCCAGAAACGUGCUCAUUGUGUGCCAUACAUAUUACCAUCUAAAUCACAGCUUAUUACUUUUGAUAAGAAAGAAACAAAUUACUUUUGGUGUUCUGAAGGUAUCAGAAGGUGGAACAGUCAACUUGUUGAGCAGAUCAUGUGGAGUGUACAAUAUUAAUGAACUAGGUCUGCAAAAGCGUACUGCAGGAAUAGUGGAUGAAGUGGAAGGAGAAAAGAUGUAUCGAUGUGCUUCUCGUGAUAUGCAUAUUUUUGGAGCCAUAGGUUGUGGAGCAAGCAGUGUAGUUCAGAGAGCAAUAUAUGUACCCAUUCACCGAAUUUUGGCCCUGAAGAAGAUAAACGUAUUUGAGAAGGAGAAAAGGCAACAACUUCUUAAUGAGAUAAGGACACUAUGUGAGGCAUCUUGCUAUCCGGGUUUAGUUGAAUUCCAUGGAGCAUUUUAUUCCCCUGACUCAGGACAAAUUAGUAUUGCCCUGGAAUACAUGGAUGGGGGUUCACUUGCAGAUGUUUUGAGGGUGAAGAAAUGUAUACCAGAGCCAGUUCUUUCACAUAUGGUUCAAAAAUUGCUGCGAGGGUUGAGCUACUUGCAUGGGACAAGACAUCUAGUGCACAGAGAUAUAAAGCCUGCAAAUUUGCUCAUAAAUCUCAAGGGGGAGCCGAAAAUUACUGAUUUUGGAAUAAGUGCAGGCUUAGAGAAUUCAAUGGCGAUGUGUGCUACCUUCGUUGGUACUGUUACUUACAUGUCACCUGAGAGAAUUCGAAAUGAGAACUACUCAUACCCAGCUGACAUUUGGAGCCUUGGAUUAGCCAUAUUUGAAUGCGGCACAGGAAAAUUUCCAUAUACAGCAAACGAAGGACCUGCCAAUCUUAUGUUGCAGAUCUUGUAUGACCUAUCACCUACACCUCCGGAGGACUCAUACUCACCAGAGUUCUGCUCAUUUGUUGAGGCUUGCCUGCAGAAAGAUGCUGAUGCAAGGCCAACAGCUGAGCAGGUGAGAAAACUUCUAUCGCAUCCAUUUAUUAGGAAAUAUGAGAACACCAAUGUGGACUUGGCAGAAUAUGUUCGAAGUGUUUUUGAUCCAACACAGAGGUUAAAGGAAAUAGCAGAUGUGAGCAUCUGGCCUGCUAAAAUGCGCUGUAUGUGCAUCUAUGUAAUAUACAUAGAUGACAACAGUAGUUCUUUGAAUGCUGACUGUACACUAUUACUUGCUUUUUGAUCGAGCUGAUGGGCUUUGGCAUCAUACUAAAUUAUUCUAUAAUGAAAGUUCAACUUUCAGCUUCGCAGGAAAACAGUAUGUUGGACAGAAUGAUAUAUUUGCAAUUCUAUCAGAUAUAAGGAGAAAAUUAGCAGGUGAUCGGCCCCAAGAGAAACUUGUGCAUGUUGUGGAGAAGCUUCAGUGUCGCCUGCAUGGGGAAGACGGGGUUGCAAUUCGUGCGUCAGGAUCCUUCAUCGUUGGAAACCACUUUCUUAUAUGUGGAAAUGGGAUGCAAGCCGAAGGAAUGCCCAAUAUGCAAGAACUAUCACUUGAUGUUGCUAGUAAGCGUGUGGGGACUUUUCAUGAGCAGUUCAUAAUGGGUCCAGGAAGUUGUAUUGGAUGCUUCUUCAUAGUAAGGCAGGAGCUGUACAUACGGCAAACAUAGCAACAAACAAUGGAGUGAUAUCAUAAGGUCAGUGUAGUUAAAGAUUCUUUUGCUAGUAACUUAUGAAAUUCUACCUUGAUGUUUUCUGUUGAUUAACCUUGUACCUCAAAAAUUGAAUUAGGACACUAGAAUAAUCUCCUUACGAACUUUGAAGGGUGUAUUGCUACUAUUAGUGCCAUUGUGUACAUUUAGGAGCAACGUGUCCUCUAAUUGACUAAUAUAAUUCUUUUAGGCAUGUAGUUCUUAAUGUAUGUAUGAAAGUAAGAGCAACAAGCAGUAGAUUUUCCCCUUGUUUAA